CCCGGCGACAAGACGGUGGAGUAUGUGGUUUAAUUCGAUGCAACGCGAAGAACCUUACCUGGUCUUGACAUCCCGGAGACCCUUAGGAAACUAGGGGUGCUUCCAUCUGGAAGAAUCUGGAGACAGGUGCUGCAUGGCUGUCGUCAGCUCGUGUCGUGAGAUGUUGGGUUAAGUCCCGCAACGAGCGCAACCCUUGCCUUUAGUUGCCAGCAGUUCGGCUGGGCACUCUAAAGGGACUGCCGGUGUUAAACCGGAGGAAGGUGGGGAUGACGUCAAGUCCUCAUGGCCUUUAUGACCAGGGCUACACACGUACUACAAUGGCCGAUACAAAGGGCAGCGACACUGCGAGGUGAAGCCAAUCCCGUAAAAUCGGUCUCAGUCCGGAUUGGAGUCUGCAACUCGACUCCAUGAAGUUGGAAUCGCUAGUAAUCGUGGAUCAGCAUGCCACGGUGAAUACGUUCCCGGGCCUU
This 470-nucleotide ribosomal RNA is filed under the name uncultured Desulfobulbus sp. RNAcentral's name for it is "bacterial SSU rRNA". It matches the Rfam family "Bacterial small subunit ribosomal RNA", at positions 920 to 1382 of the family's 1533-position model. The record is from RNAcentral. Lineage: Bacteria; Pseudomonadati; Thermodesulfobacteriota; Desulfobulbia; Desulfobulbales; Desulfobulbaceae.